This 253-nucleotide ribosomal RNA is filed under the name uncultured bacterium. RNAcentral describes it as "partial 16S ribosomal RNA". It matches the Rfam family "Bacterial small subunit ribosomal RNA", at positions 524 to 776 of the family's 1533-position model. The record is from RNAcentral.
UACGAAGGGGGCUAGCGUUGCUCGGAAUCACUGGGCGUAAAGCGCACGUAGGCGGCUUGUUAAGUCAGGGGUGAAAUCCUGGAGCUCAACUCCAGAACUGCCUUUGAUACUGAUGAGCUUGAGGUCGGGAGAGGUGAGUGGAACUGCGAGUGUAGAGGUGAAAUUCGUAGAUAUUCGCAAGAACACCAGUGGCGAAGGCGGCUCACUGGCCCGAUACUGACGCUGAGGUGCGAAAGCGUGGGGAGCAAACAGG